AUACGGAGGAUCCGAGCGUUGUCCGGAAUGAUUGGGCGUAAAGGGCGCGUAGGCGGCCAUUUAAGUCAGCGGUUAAAUCGUGGGGCUCAACCCCAUUCUGCCGUUGAUACUGGGUGGCUUGAUUGCGGUCGAGGUUGGCGGAAUUCGUUGUGUAGCGGUGAAAUGCAUAGAUAUGACGAAGAACACCGAUUGCGUAGGCAGCUGACCAGACCGCAAAUGACGCUCAUGCACGAAAGUGCGGGGAUCGAACAGGGUUAGAUACCCUGGUAGUCCGCACAGUAAACGAUGAAUACUUGUUUUCGGCGAUAUAAUGUCGGAGGCAAAGCGAAAGCGAUAAGUAUUCCACCUGGGGAGUACGCCGGCAACGGUGAAACUUAAAGGAAUUGACGGGG
RNAcentral lists this ribosomal RNA (392 nucleotides) under uncultured bacterium. RNAcentral's name for it is "partial 16S ribosomal RNA". It matches the Rfam family "Bacterial small subunit ribosomal RNA", at positions 523 to 918 of the family's 1533-position model. The record is from RNAcentral.